UGGAAAACAUGUGUGGAAAGUAAGUAAAUAAGUGAUUUUCAUUCAAAUCUGAGAAACAAAACGAUGGGGAAGUGACCAUUCAGUUAAAAUCUACUAUGAAGAAGAUAACAAUGUCUAAAAACACAUGGUUGAAAGUAAAAUGUAAGUGUAACCUACUAAAUUCUGUGAACAAACACUGUGGGGAAUGCCCAAUUCAACAUAGAUUGUGUUUAACAUAGAGUUGUGGUACAAAACGUGAGGAAGCCAAGUAAGUAAGGGCUUUACCCUCAAAACAGAAAAAACACUGUGAGGAAGGUAUCAUUUAGUUAUCAUCUAGGAUAACGAAGUUAAUAAUGCUUGGAAUCACAUGGUGGGAAGCCAAAUGUAUGUGUAAUAUACCCAAUUCUGAGAAAGAAUAAAGUGGAGAAUGCCCCAGUCAACUGCGAUUCCCUGGAACUAUGAAAACAUGUGCACAAAGGAAUUAAGUGCUUCACACUCAACACUGAGAAACAACACUGUGCAGAAAAUAAGUCAUUCUGUUAAUAUCUAGUAUAAACAAAUAUUUAAUGUUGGAAAACACUUGCUGGGAAGGCAAAUAUGUGUGCAAUGCACUCAAUUCGAUGAAAGUACACCAUUCAACUGAGAUUCCUUGUAACUAAGUUAGUUCUGAUUUAAAACAUGUGUGGAGAUCAAGGAAAUAAGUACUUUAUACUCAACACUGAAAGACAACACUGUGAGGAAUGUAUAAUUCUGUUAACAUCUAGAAUAACAAAGUUAAUAAUAUUUGAAAACACACUCUGGGGAGUCAAAUGUAUGUGUAAUACCUUAAAUUCUGUGAAAGAACACAGUGGAGAAUGCACCAUUCAAGUGAGAUUCCCUGGAACUAAGUUCUGUUUGAAAACAUGUGCACAGACCAAGGAAGUAAGUACUUUAGACUUAAAACUGAGAAAAAAUGCUGUACAGAAGUCUUCAUUCUGUUAACAUCUAGGAUAACGAAGUUAAUAAUGUUUGAAAACACAUGCUGGGAUGUCAAAUGCAUGUGUAAUACACUCAAUGCUGUGAAAGAACACAGUGAAGAAUGUCCCAUUCAACUGAGAUUCCCCGGAACUGUUAGUUCUGAUUGAAAGCACGUGCAGAGACCAAGGAAAUAAGUGCUUUACACUCAACUCUGAGAAACAACACUCUGCGGAAUGUAUUAUUCUGUUAACAUCUAGGCUAACGGAGUUAAUAAUGUUUGAAAACACAUGCUUGGUGGUCAAAUGUAUGUGUAAUACACUCAAUUCUAAGAAAGAACACAGUAAAGAAUGCCCCAUUCAACUGAGAUUCCUUGGAACUGAGUUCCUUGUGUUUGAAAACAUGUGCUCAGAUCAAGGAAAUAAAUGGGUAACCCUCAUAGCCCUCGCGUCUCAAAGCUCUGCCUCAGCUCCCGCCUGUGCCCAAUGUGCUUCUCUCCCGACCAUGGGAUCUUCUCCACUCUGGAAGUGCUAUCCACGGGCACAGAGACACAUGGGGUGAUGCGGAUCCUGAGGUCCAGCAGAGGACCUGGAAAAGCAAGCUCUCCAAGAAACAGCUGUACCUGUGACAAAGGAGAAAACUGUAUCUGAUCGUUUGAACGCAAGAGAAGGACACGGUGGGGACUUGCCACACAGGGGUUCCUGGGUUGCUCAGUUGGUCAAGCAACCGACUUCA
Suricata suricatta (meerkat) is the source of this 1668-nucleotide long non-coding RNA. RefSeq lists it as uncharacterized. The record is from RefSeq and is a predicted model, not a curated record. NCBI's taxonomy places the organism in Eukaryota, Metazoa, Chordata, Mammalia, Carnivora, Herpestidae. The transcript has 3 exons.